This 385-nucleotide ribosomal RNA is filed under the name uncultured bacterium. RNAcentral describes it as "bacterial SSU rRNA". It matches the Rfam family "Bacterial small subunit ribosomal RNA", at positions 29 to 407 of the family's 1533-position model. The record is from RNAcentral.
AGUGAACGCUGGCGGUAGGCCUAACACAUGCAAGUCGAACGGCAGCACAGUAAGAGCUUGCUCUUAUGGGUGGCGAGUGGCGGACGGGUGAGGAAUACAUCGGAAUCUACUUUUUCGUGGGGGAUAACGUAGGGAAACUUACGCUAAUACCGCAUACGACCUACGGGUGAAAGCAGGGGAUCUUCGGACCUUGCGCGAUUGAAUGAGCCGAUGUCGGAUUAGCUAGUUGGCGGGGUAAAGGCCCACCAAGGCGACGAUCCGUAGCUGGUCUGAGAGGAUGAUCAGCCACACUGGAACUGAGACACGGUCCAGACUCCUACGGGAGGCAGCAGUGGGGAAUAUUGGACAAUGGGCGCAAGCCUGAUCCAGCCAUACCGCGUGGGUG